This is a long non-coding RNA of Carassius auratus (goldfish), 781 nucleotides long. RefSeq lists it as uncharacterized. NCBI's taxonomy places the organism in Eukaryota, Metazoa, Chordata, Actinopteri, Cypriniformes, Cyprinidae. The record is from RefSeq and is a predicted model, not a curated record. The transcript has 5 exons.
GUAGAGGAGGUGAAUGGGGUAAGGGAACAUGCGCGCACACACACACACACGUAAUACCAUAAAUAACAUAUUCCCUGAAAUGUUUUAGGUUCUGAUUUGGCAAAGCCCCCCCCCAAAGUCCAGUUAAGGAGCUCUGGAAGCGGCACAAAAUAAGAAUACUCUCCCAGACUGACAACUAUAAGACAGCCAGAGAACGAGCCAAAAAAGCUGUAGAAAGUUCAAACGUGGACACAGAAGAAGAGGUGCUAAAAGAGCGGGAAAAAAGUACCAUCAAAAUACUGGAGCGAGAGUUCAGGAGAAUGUGAGAUUCCUACCAAAAAAGAAGAAUAAUGUCCACAUCCUCUCAGAAGCCAUCAAGCCUCCCAAAGCCUCCAAGUUACAAACCACCUCCUGACAUCACAGCUCACUCACCUGAGGAAGAAGAGCCAUCCCUGCCAAAUCUUUCAGCUAAUAAUACUUUUCAUGAUACAGUUUUUGAGCCUGAUGGGAGGUAGCAACAUUGGAGACGCUGUGAGGAGAAUCCUUCGGAAAAUAGCCACCAUUGAGGCCUGGUCAAAUUACAGCCUUAAAGGCCGAAAAGGAAAACUGAACUUCAUUGGGACAGCCUUCCACCAUAUUGUUUUAAGUAUGCUUUUUAAAACUUCUCUCUUCUUUUCACUUCAUCAUGCAACUUUUUAAAGAGCAAAUGAUAAACAGAAACAUGUCUGUACUGUCCCUGUACCUUCGAAUAAUUUGUUUUCUCGUUUUUGACUUCUAAACGAAAAUAAAAACCAAGUAUAAA